AUGUGGCACAAGACCGGCAAUACCUUGCCGGUUGUGGUCAACGGCCGGCAAACGGGCACCAAAAAUGUUCUGGUGCUGCACACCAACAAGAACUUCGACCAGCAGAGGACCAACUGGGUGAUGCACCAGUACCACCUCGGGGACCUGGAGCAAGAGAAGGGGCAGGAGCUGGUCCUCUACAAGAUUUUCUACCAGACGAACACUAGGGCCAGUAGUCGAGCAAGUUUCAACUGGGUUGUAGACUGCCCAGGCUUGGUUUUGUUUUUAACAGGCCCAGCCCAUAACGAAAAUGGGGCACAAAGAUCCAGCAGGUAG
Molecule: ribosomal RNA, 315 nt
Filed under: Triticum aestivum (bread wheat)
Lineage: Eukaryota; Viridiplantae; Streptophyta; Magnoliopsida; Poales; Poaceae
Description: partial small subunit ribosomal RNA
Source: RNAcentral